Molecule: ribosomal RNA, 507 nt
Filed under: uncultured bacterium
Lineage: Bacteria
Description: partial 16S ribosomal RNA
Rfam family: Bacterial small subunit ribosomal RNA
Source: RNAcentral
GACGAACGCUGGCGGCGUGCCUAAUACAUGCAAGUCGAACGCAUUUUCUUUCACCGUAGCUUGCUACACCGACAGAAAAUGAGUGGCGAACGGGUGAGUAACACGUUGGUAACCUGCCCAUCAGCGGGGGAUAACACUUGGAAACAGGUGCUAAUACCGCAUAAUUCCAUUUACUGCAUGGUAGAUGGAUGAAAGGCGCUUUUGCGUCACUGAUGGAUGGACCCGCGGUGCAUUAGCUAGUUGGUGGGGUAACGGCCUACCAAGGCUGCGAUGCAUAGCCGACCUGAGAGGGUGAUCGGCCACACUGGGACUGAGACACGGCCCAGACUCCUACGGGAGGCAGCAGUAGGGAAUCUUCGGCAAUGGACGCAAGUCUGACCGAGCAACGCCGCGUGAGUGAAGAAGGUUUUCGGAUCGUAAAACUCUGUUGUUAGAAAAGAACAAGGAUGAGAGUGGAAAGUUCAUCCCUUGACGGUAUCUAACCAGAAAGCCACGGCUAACUACGUG